Molecule: small nuclear RNA, 19 nt
Filed under: Arabidopsis thaliana (thale cress)
Lineage: Eukaryota; Viridiplantae; Streptophyta; Magnoliopsida; Brassicales; Brassicaceae
Description: snRNA_02686
Source: RNAcentral
CAUUCAUCUAAGGCAUAGA